This 465-nucleotide ribosomal RNA is filed under the name uncultured bacterium. RNAcentral describes it as "partial 16S ribosomal RNA". It matches the Rfam family "Bacterial small subunit ribosomal RNA", at positions 28 to 507 of the family's 1533-position model. The record is from RNAcentral.
GACGAACGCUGGCGGCGUGCUUAACACAUGCAAGUCGAACGGAAAGGCCCCUUUGGGGGUCCUCGAGUGGCGAACGGGUGAGUAACACGUGAGUAACCUGCCCUUGACUUCGGGAUAACUUCAGGAAACUGGGGCUAAUACCGGAUAGGAAUCCUUGCUGCAUGGUGGGGGUUGGAAAGCUUCGGUGGUUUUGGAUGGACUCGCGGCUUAUCAGCUUGUUGGUGGGGUAGUGGCUUACCAAGGCUUUGACGGGUAGCCGGCCUGAGAGGGCGACCGGCCACAUUGGGACUGAGAUACGGCCCAGACUCCUACGGGAGGCAGCAGUGGGGAAUAUUGCACAAUGGGCGGAAGCCUGAUGCAGCAACGCCGCGUGCGGGAUGACGGCCUUCGGGUUGUAAACCGCUUUCAGCAGGGGCGAAGCUUGUGGUGACGGUACCUGCAGAAGAAGCACCGGCUAACUACGUG